Molecule: ribosomal RNA, 238 nt
Filed under: uncultured Pseudomonadales bacterium
Lineage: Bacteria; Pseudomonadati; Pseudomonadota; Gammaproteobacteria; Pseudomonadales
Description: partial 16S ribosomal RNA
Rfam family: Bacterial small subunit ribosomal RNA
Source: RNAcentral
AUACUUAGUGGCGGACGGGUGAGUAAUGCUUAGGAAUCUGCCUAGUAGUGGGGGAUAACUUGGGGAAACCCAAGCUAAUACCGCAUACGACCUACGGGUGAAAGGGGGCUUUUAGCUCUCGCUAUUAGAUGAGCCUAAGUCGGAUUAGCUGGUUGGUGGGGUAAAGGCCUACCAAGGCGACGAUCUGUAGCUGGUCUGAGAGGAUGAUCAGCCACACUGGGACCGAGACACGGCCCAG